AGGGGUGUAGCUCAAUUGGCAGAGCAGUGCUCUCCAAAAGCAAAGGUUGGGGGUUCGAGUCCCUCCACCCCUGCCA
RNAcentral lists this transfer RNA (76 nucleotides) under Acidimicrobiales bacterium. RNAcentral's name for it is "tRNA-Trp". It matches the Rfam family "tRNA". Rfam says of the family: Transfer RNA (tRNA) molecules are approximately 80 nucleotides in length. Their secondary structure includes four short double-helical elements and three loops (D, anti-codon, and T loops). The record is from RNAcentral. Lineage: Bacteria; Bacillati; Actinomycetota; Acidimicrobiia; Acidimicrobiales.